UACGGAGGGGGCUAGCGUUGUUCGGAAUUACUGGGCGUAAAGCGCACGUAGGCGGACCAGAAAGUCAGAGGUGAAAUCCCAGGGCUCAACCUUGGAACUGCCUUUGAAACUCCUGAUCUUGAGGUCGAGAGAGGUGAGUGGAAUUCCGAGUGUAGAGGUGAAAUUCGUAGAUAUUCGGAGGAACACCAGUGGCGAAGGCGGCUCACUGGCUCGAUACUGACGCUGAGGUGCGAAAGCGUGGGGAGCAAACAGGAUUAGAAACCCCCGUAGUCC
Molecule: ribosomal RNA, 273 nt
Filed under: uncultured bacterium
Lineage: Bacteria
Description: partial 16S ribosomal RNA
Rfam family: Bacterial small subunit ribosomal RNA
Source: RNAcentral